CCCUAGUUCUGACCGUAAACGAUGCCAUCUCGCGAUUCGGAGGGUUCAUGCCCUACCGAGGAGCUACCCGGAAACGAAAGUCUUUCGGUUCCGGGGGUAGUAUGGUUGCAAAGCUGAAACUUAAAGAAAUUGACGGAAGGGCACCACAAGGCGUGGAGCUUGCGGCUUAAUUUGACUCAACACGGGAAAACUCACCCGGUCCGGACACUAUUAGGACUGACAGAUUGAAAGCUCUUUCUCGAUUUGGUGGUUGGUGGUGCAUGGCCGUUCUUAGUUGGUGGAGUGAUUUGUCUGGUUUAUUCCGAUAACGAGCGAGACUCUAGCCUGCUAAAUAGUCGACGAAUCUUCGGGUUCGUAUAACUUCUUAGAGGGAUAAGCGGUGUUUAGCCGCACGAGAUUGAGCGAUAACAGGUCUGUGAUGCCCUUAGAUGUCCGGGGCUGCACGCGUGCUACACUGGUGGAGUCAGCGGGUUUUUCCUAUGCCGAAAGGUAUCGGUAAACCGUUGAACUUCUUCCAUGUCCGGGAUAGGGUAUUGUAAUUAUUACCCUUAAACGAGGAAUGCCUAGUAAGUGUGAGUCAUCAGCUCACGUUGAUUACGUCCCUGCCCUUUGUACACACCGCCCGUCGCUAUCCGGGACUGAACUGACCGAAAGGUAUCGGUAAACCGUUGAACUUCUUCCAUGUCCGGGAUAGGGUAUUGUAAUUAUUACCCUUAAACGAGGAAUGCCUAGUAAGUGUGAGUCAUCAGCUCACGUUGAUUACGUCCCUGCCCUUUGUACACACCGCCCGUCGCUAUCCGGGACUGAACUGAUUCGAGAAGAGUGGGGACUGUGGCUGCGAGGUUUUACCACUUCGCAGUUGCGGAAACCAUUUUUAUCGCAUUGGUUUGAACCGGGUAAAAGUCGUAACAAGGUAGCUGUAGGUGAACCUGCAGCUGGAUCAUCG
RNAcentral lists this non-coding RNA (946 nucleotides) under Caenorhabditis japonica. RNAcentral describes it as "Eukaryotic small subunit ribosomal RNA". It matches the Rfam family "Eukaryotic small subunit ribosomal RNA", at positions 1018 to 1831 of the family's 1831-position model. Lineage: Eukaryota; Metazoa; Nematoda; Chromadorea; Rhabditida; Rhabditidae. The record is from Rfam by way of RNAcentral.